This 199-nucleotide long non-coding RNA is filed under the name Sorghum bicolor (sorghum). Its description in RNAcentral is "long non-coding RNA (SBIC_LNC011234)". Lineage: Eukaryota; Viridiplantae; Streptophyta; Magnoliopsida; Poales; Poaceae. The record is from RNAcentral.
CAGUUAGGGCCUCCACCUCCAGGUGUUCAUCAGCUCGUCGAUCGCAGCUAGCAACAGCCAGCAAGAUUCAUCAUCACGUCUUACGAAAUCUCUUCGGCCUCCAUAAAUCACUCUUCACAGGCAUGCGCCAGCAUUAGCAAAUCCUUCCUCCCCGAAACACCAGGGCGACCAUCGAAACGCGAGAGCCAUUGGAGGAAUA